This 633-nucleotide long non-coding RNA is filed under the name Mustela putorius furo (domestic ferret). RNAcentral describes it as "lncRNA (ENSMPUG00000028054.1)". The record is from RNAcentral. Lineage: Eukaryota; Metazoa; Chordata; Mammalia; Carnivora; Mustelidae.
GCACUCUUCUCCCCCGAGGUCAGGGUGGGGGGGGGGUGCUGAAGGUUCCCACCCCACAGUAGAAAAGAACCACUGUGCUGGCAAAUCCAUAACCCAGUUAUCAUUGUCUGCUUUCUUAGUAACUGCAAGGAAUUAUGCCAGCACUAAUUUAUAUACUGUGUCUGACCCUAUUCAGGGAACACAGGUGUGCAGAGCCCUGAGGAGAGCUUUUGAAAGGGAUCGUCAUAUAAAUGUUGAGCCUUGGGAAAUGAAGUCAUGCAAAAUGGAACAAGAAUUUAUCAAGAAUUUCUCAGCAUUGUCAGCCGCUAGGCUGUUCCCAUGGUUACUGUAUUGGUUCUUUGUGAACUUCCCAGAUCUUCCCUUUCCAUGGAUGUUAGAAGAGCAAGAUACUUGGGAACUAUGACAUUUUUUCUUAACCAUUUCUUCCUUUUUUUGUAUGUCUUAUAAUAAUUUAUCACAUUAUGGUUGAUGACACUUCAUCAUGAAUAUCACAUAUGAUUUAGAAGUUUUUUUCUCUUUUUGUCACAUUCAAAGUGGCAGCAUUGAUGUUCUCCUUUCUGUUCUGGUUUGGUGAGUUCCUAAAGGACUUGUGUAAAAACAUAGUGGCCUAAAGGAAAUAAAAUAACUCAACAG